AACGAACGCUGGCGGCAUGCCUAACACAUGCAAGUCGAACGAGACCUUCGGGUCUUGUGUCGCCCGGGUUCGUCGCGCGUCGGAACCUUCCCUUAGGUUCAGCAUAACUCUCCGACAGGGAUGCUAUUACCGGAUAAUGUCUUCGAACCAAAGAUAUAUCGCCUUUGGUUGUGCGCUCGUUGAAUUAGCUUGUUGGUAGGGUUAAAGCCUACGAAGGCGCCGAUCCAUAGCUGGGUUGGGAGGAAGAUCAGCGACACUGGGAGUGAGACCCGGCCCAGACUCCUACGGGAGGCAGGAGUGGGGAAUAUUGGAAAAUGGGCGAAAGGCUGAUCGAGCAAGGCCGCGAGAGUUAUGAAGUCCUGAGGGUUGUAAAGCUCUUUUAACCGGGAUGAUAAUGACAGUACCGGGAGAAUAAGCUCCGGCUAACUCCGUG
This 433-nucleotide ribosomal RNA is filed under the name uncultured bacterium. Its description in RNAcentral is "partial 16S ribosomal RNA". It matches the Rfam family "Bacterial small subunit ribosomal RNA", at positions 29 to 507 of the family's 1533-position model. The record is from RNAcentral.